UCUGCACUAAACCCUAAUUUAACAUCUGGCAUCCCAUGGAAAUAAAUUUUCCACCCAUCUCCUUCAACACUAGAAGGCACAAUCCAUCUUUCAGAUAGUGCCAACAGAUAUAAAAGAGACAAAGUAAUUGUAAAAUUCUGAGCAUCACAA
Molecule: long non-coding RNA, 150 nt
Organism: Vitis riparia (riverbank grape)
Lineage: Eukaryota; Viridiplantae; Streptophyta; Magnoliopsida; Vitales; Vitaceae
Exons: 2
Source: RefSeq, a predicted model, not a curated record